Molecule: non-coding RNA, 774 nt
Organism: Jatropha curcas
Lineage: Eukaryota; Viridiplantae; Streptophyta; Magnoliopsida; Malpighiales; Euphorbiaceae
Source: RefSeq, a predicted model, not a curated record
AUACUUUCAUAAUCUACUUUUCCCAAGUUCUUUUUCUAAAAAUCUUUUCCCACGUCUAUUGAUUAGCGGAAAAUCGCAUAUGCCACCCGUUUACAUGUUCGUUAUAUAUAAUUAAUUUGAUUUGUUCUACUAUUGUGUUUGACAUGCAUGGUUAUUGACAUUUUGAUGAAAAAUGAAUAUUUUAAUUUUGAGUAUUGUUAAGGAUUAGUUGUAAAUAGAGUUCUAUUAGGAGUUAGAUUCCUAAUUAGUUUAUGAUUUGUAUUCCUAAAUAGCUAGGUAGCAUAGGAAUUCCUUAUAUAUAGACCUAUGUAAUCGAUUGAUGAGAUACAAGAAAUACAACUACAAUAUUAAUCUCUCAACAAGUAUCAACAUUCUUCUUUUUCCCCUUCUUUUCUUUUCAUCAUUAUCACCAUCAUCAGCCUCAUUUUAUUUUAUUUUAUAUUGGUUGCAUUCUUAGAAAACAGGUCAGUUUAGUUUUGGCAUGAUUUAUAGUAAUUAAAGGCGCAAGGCACACUAAGGUGCAAAGGGCUGCUGGAGGCUAGAUGCCUAGGUGCUAGCCUCUAGGUGAAGGCACGCGCCUGAGCAAGGUGAGGCACAAUAAUUAAAAAAUAAAAAAUAAAAUACAUAAAUAUGAAAAUUUUGCUUUAAGAGAAAAGAAAAAAAAAAAAAGAAAAAAACUGGAAAAACAUGCAUAAAUCGGAAAAAAAAUGGUUGGCAACAUGACAACUUAUAUUUUAAGAUUAUUAGAAUCAAGAUGGAAAAUAGUGGAAUCAA